CCUACGGGAGGCUGCAGUGAGGAAUAUUGGUCAAUGGCCGGAAUCCUGAACCAGCCAAGCCGCGUGAGGGAUGACUGCCCUAUGGGUUGUAAACCUCUUUUAUAAGGGAAGAAUAACUGCUACGUGUACCACGAUGCCUGUACCUUAUGAAUAAGCAUCGGCUAACUCCUUGCCAGCAGCCGCGGUAAUACGGAGGAUGCGAGCGUUAUCCGGAUUUAUUGGGUUUAAGGGGUGCGUAGGCGGUUGUUUAAGUUAGUGGUUAAACGUUGGGGCUUCACCUUGAUUUGCCAUUGAUACUGUAAGACUCGAGUUGAGACGAGGUAGGCGGAAUAAGUGGAGUAGCGGUGAAAUGCUUAGAUAU
This 361-nucleotide ribosomal RNA is filed under the name uncultured bacterium. RNAcentral describes it as "partial 16S ribosomal RNA". It matches the Rfam family "Bacterial small subunit ribosomal RNA", at positions 338 to 697 of the family's 1533-position model. The record is from RNAcentral.